AGUGAACGCUGGCGGUAGGCCUAACACAUGCAAGUCGAACGGCAGCACAGUAAGCGCUUGCUCUUACGGGUGGCGAGUGGCGGACGGGUGAGGAAUACAUCGGCAUCUACUUUUUCGUGGGGGAUAACGUAGGGACACUUACGCUACUACCGCAUACGACCUACGGGUGAAAGCAGGGGAUCUUCGGACCUUGCGCGAUUGAAUGAGCCGAUGUCGGAUUAGCUAGUUGGCGGGGUAAAGGCCCACCAAGGCGACGAUCCGUAGCUGGUCUGAGAGGAUGAUCAGCCACACUGGAACUGAGACACGGUCCAGACUCCUACGGGAGGCAGCAGUGGGGAAUAUUGGACAAUGGGCGCAAGCCUGAUCCAGCCAUACCGCGUGGGUGAAGAAGGCCUUCGGGUUGUAAAGCCCUUUUGUUGGGAAAGAAAAGCAGCAGGUUAAUACCCCGCUGUUCUGACGGUACCCAAAGAAUAAGCACCGGCUAACUUCGUG
Molecule: ribosomal RNA, 492 nt
Filed under: uncultured bacterium
Lineage: Bacteria
Description: partial 16S ribosomal RNA
Rfam family: Bacterial small subunit ribosomal RNA
Source: RNAcentral